Molecule: unclassified non-coding RNA, 203 nt
Filed under: Hevea brasiliensis (rubber tree)
Lineage: Eukaryota; Viridiplantae; Streptophyta; Magnoliopsida; Malpighiales; Euphorbiaceae
Source: RNAcentral
AGUACUUCGAAUAAACUUAGGCGUUUGUAUAACAAAUUUAAUAUUGCUAUAAUGUUGGGGUAAAUCAAUGGUCACUUCUGCCAACUAAAAUAGAAACAGGAAAUACUUUAGUAUCUUAUUGACAAAUCGGGUACAAUUUCCAGGAACCGGGUGAAAUUUAAUUCCUAAAUUGAUAUUUUUUGCAGGCUCUUAGCCUAGCUAUA